RNAcentral lists this ribosomal RNA (558 nucleotides) under Anilany helenae. RNAcentral describes it as "partial large subunit ribosomal RNA". It matches the Rfam family "Bacterial large subunit ribosomal RNA", at positions 1809 to 2608 of the family's 2925-position model. Lineage: Eukaryota; Metazoa; Chordata; Amphibia; Anura; Microhylidae. The record is from RNAcentral.
AAAAACAUCGCCUCUUGUAAGACAUAAGAGGUCCGACCUGCCCAGUGACACUAGUUAAACGGCCGCGGUACCCUAACCGUGCAAAGGUAGCACAAUCACUUGUUCUUUAAAUCAGGACUAGUAUGAACGGCCACACGAGGGCUAUACUGUCUCCCUCCCCCAAUCAAUGAAACUGAUCUACCCGUGAAGAAGCGGGCAUAUCCUAAUAAGACGAGAAGACCCCAUGGAACUUAAAACUAAUAUCACUGCCACAACACACCACAUAAGCAACAUGAAUACUAGUCUUUCGGCUGGGGCGACCACGGAGAAAAACAAAACCUCCAUGAUGAAAGGCUACCCCCUAAUCUUAGACCCACCAAUCCAAGAAUCAAUAAAUUGACUAUUUGACCCAACACUUGAUCAACGAACCAAGCUACCCUGGGGAUAACAGCGCAAUCCAUUUCAAGAGACCCCAUCGACAAAUGGGCUUACGACCUCGAUGUUGGAUCAGGGUACCCAAGUGGUGCAGCCGCUACUAAAGGUUCGUUUGUUCAACGAUUAAAACCCUACGUGAUCUGA